Molecule: ribosomal RNA, 908 nt
Filed under: Clostridioides difficile
Lineage: Bacteria; Bacillati; Bacillota; Clostridia; Peptostreptococcales; Peptostreptococcaceae
Description: partial 23S ribosomal RNA
Rfam family: Bacterial large subunit ribosomal RNA
Source: RNAcentral
UGGUCAAGUUAUUAAGGGUGCAGGGCGGAUGCCUUGGCACUAGGAGCCGAUGAAGGACGUGAUAAGCUGCGAUAAGCUUCGGGGAGUUGCACGUAAACUUUGAUCCGAAGAUUUCCGAAUGAGGAAACUCACUUAGAGUAAUGUCUAAGUAUCAUUAAGUGAAUACAUAGCUUAAUGAGGGGAACUCAGGGAACUGAAACAUCUAAGUACCUGAAGGAAGAGAAAGAAAUUCGAUUCCGUAAGUAGCGGCGAGCGAACGCGGAUUAGCCCAAACCAAUAAAGUUUUCUUUAUUGGGGUUGCGGACAUAUCAUAACGAAGAGGUAUCGUAAUUGAAGAGGUUUGGAAAGACCCACCACAGAAGGUAAUAGUCCUGUAUGUUAAACGAGAAGACUUCAGAUAUGAUCCAGAGUACCACGGGACACGUGAAACCCUGUGGGAAGCAGGAGGGACCACCCUCCAAGGCUAAAUACUACCUAGUGACCGAUAGCGUAUAGUACCGUGAGGGAAAGGUGAAAAGAACCCCGGGAGGGGAGUGAAAUAGAACCUGAAACCCUGCACUUACAAGCUGUGGAAGCACAUUUCUUGUGUGACCGCGUACUUUUUGUAGAACGGGCCAACGAGUUACGUUAAGUAGCAAGGUUAAGCACUUAAGGUGUGGAGCCGUAGCGAAAGCGAGUUUUAACUGAGCGUUCAGUUACUUGACGUAGACCCGAAACCGGGCGACCUACCCAUGAGCAGGAUGAAGCGAAAGUAAAAUUUCGUGGAGGUCCGAACCCACGAGCGUUGAAAAGCUCGGGGAUGACUUGUGGGUAGCGGUGAAAUUCCAAUCGAGCCCGGAGAUAGCUGGUUCUCCCCGAAAUAGCUUUAGGGCUAGCCUCAAGGUGAGAGAUACGGAGGUAGAGCACUG